This 445-nucleotide ribosomal RNA is filed under the name uncultured bacterium. RNAcentral describes it as "bacterial SSU rRNA". It matches the Rfam family "Bacterial small subunit ribosomal RNA", at positions 354 to 796 of the family's 1533-position model. The record is from RNAcentral.
GUAAGGAAUAUUGGUCAAUGGACGCAAGUCUGAACCAGCCAUGCCGCGUGGAGGAUGAAGGCCCUCUGGGUUGUAAACUUCUUUUAUUUGGGAAGAAACCUAUCCUUUCUAGGGUAGUUGACGGUACCAGAUGAAUAAGCACCGGCUAACUCCGUGCCAGCAGCCGCGGUAAUACGGAGGGUGCAAGCGUUAUCCGGAUUCACUGGGUUUAAAGGGUGCGUAGGUGGGCAGGUAAGUCAGUGGUGAAAUCUCUGAGCUUAACUCAGAAACUGCCGUUGAUACUAUCUGUCUUGAAUGUAGUGGAGGUGAGCGGAAUAUGUCAUGUAGCGGUGAAAUGCUUAGAUAUGACAUAGAACACCAAUUGCGAAGGCAGCUCGCUACACUAUUAUUGACACUGAGGCACGAAAGCGUGGGGAUCAAACAGGAUUAGAUACCCUUGUAGUCC